This 25-nucleotide non-coding RNA is filed under the name Rattus norvegicus (Norway rat). The record is from RNAcentral. Lineage: Eukaryota; Metazoa; Chordata; Mammalia; Rodentia; Muridae.
UGCAAGAAGUGAGGGAGAGAGUUAC